AGUGAACGCUGGCGGUAGGCCUAACACAUGCAAGUCGAACGGCAGCACAGUAAGAGCUUGCUCUUACGGGUGGCGAGUGGCGGACGGGUGAGGAAUACAUCGGAAUCUACUUUUUCGUGGGGGAUAACGUAGGGAAACUUACGCUAAUACCGCAUACGAUCUACGGGUGAAAGCAGGGGAUCUUCGGACCUUGUGCGACUGAAUGAGCCGAUGUCGGAUUAGCUAGUUGGCGGGGUAAAGGCCCACCAAGGCGACGAUCCGUAGCUGGUCUGAGAGGAUGGUCAGCCACACUGGAACUGAGACGCGGUCCAGACUCCUACGGGAGGCAGCAGUGGGGAAUAUUGGACCAUGGGCGCAGGCCUGAUCCAGCCAUACCGCGUGGGUGAAGAAGGCCUUCGGGUUGUAAAGCCCUUUUGUUGGGAAAGAAGAGCAGCAGGUUAAUACCCCGCUGUUCUGACGGUACCCAAAGAAUAAGCACCGGCUAACUUCGUG
RNAcentral lists this ribosomal RNA (492 nucleotides) under uncultured bacterium. Its description in RNAcentral is "partial 16S ribosomal RNA". It matches the Rfam family "Bacterial small subunit ribosomal RNA", at positions 29 to 507 of the family's 1533-position model. The record is from RNAcentral.